This 785-nucleotide ribosomal RNA is filed under the name Hypotrachyna koyaensis. RNAcentral describes it as "SSU rRNA". It matches the Rfam family "Bacterial small subunit ribosomal RNA", at positions 419 to 1170 of the family's 1533-position model. The record is from RNAcentral. Lineage: Eukaryota; Fungi; Ascomycota; Lecanoromycetes; Lecanorales; Parmeliaceae.
AGGAAUGUAUAGCAAUAGCUACUUACAUGAUAGUAAUAAUGAUGUAAGAUCGACGGAGUCGAAUAAAGUUCUAGGUAGAAUUUUGAUAAUGACAUUAUAUGCCUAUGUGUCUUGACCAAUUACGUGCCAGCAGUCGCGGUAAUACGUAUAAGGCUAGCGUUAUUCAUGUUUAAUCGGUUUAAAGGGUACCUAGACGGCAGAUCAAGCUUAUGAAAAAAAAAGGACUAAUCUGCUAGAGUUACUACUGAGGGGGCUAUAAAGUACUGCUGGUGUAGGGAUGAAAUAUUUUGAUACCUGAAAAAUAUGGCACAGGUAUAGGCGAAGGCAUCCCCUUAUGAGAUAACUGACGUUGAGGGACGAAGGCUUCGGACCACGAACAGGAUUAGAGACCCUGGUAGUUGAAGCAGUAAACGCUGAAUGUCAUAGAUUAGAUAUAUAAGUUUCUUCUAUAAAUGAAAGUGUAAGCAUUCCACCUCAAGAGUAAUUUGGCAACAUUGGAACUGAAAUCAUUAGACCGCUUCUGAAAUUAGUAGUGAAGUAUGUUGUUUAAUUUGAUAGUCCGCAAAGAACCUUACCACAAUUUGAAUAUUUAGAUUGUUUAUUGUUAUCUUAUUAGUUUCCUUUUUUAUAUGAAGUAAAACUAAUGUUGAAGCAAUAACAUAUAUUUACAAGCGUUGCACGGCUGUCGUCAGUUGAUGUCGCGAGACUGUGGUUUACUCCACCAAUCAACGUAAACCCCCGUUUUAUUUUUAGAUAAAGCAGAUAAUUACCGAUAUGGUGAUGAU